AUGGACGGAGAUCGACGGAUGCCGGCGGUCGCGGCCGCGGCCGCGGCCGCAUCGACGGCAUCGGUGCUUGACGACGACGACCUCCUCCGCGAGAUCCUCCUCCGCCUCGGCUUCCCCACCUGCCUCGUCCGCGCCGCCCUCGUCUCCAAGCGGUGGCUCCUCCACGCCUCCGACCCGGCCUUCCUUCGCCGAUUCCGCGAGCGCAACCCGCCCCGCCUCCUCGACUUCUGCCUCGGCUUCUCCGGCAGGUACCGGUUCGUGCCGUUCCCGCCGCAGCCCCCGGAGCUCGCCGCUCCCAUUCGCCGGGCGACUUCCUCCUGCGCCGCCGCCUUCGCCCGCAGAAUCCUGCCAAUCAAGCACUGCCGGAACGGCCGCCUCAUCAUAGAGUUCUUCAACAAAGGCAGAUUCGAUUACUCCCUCGCUCCGCUGCUCGCCGGGGAGGCCGCGGCCGUCCUCCCGACGACCCCGCUACCCCACCUUGACUGGGACACCACUCAAGAUAGAUUCGUUGAGAUGUUCUUGCCCGAGGAUGGGGGCCGCAACGGCAUCACCUUGCUGUAUCUCUGGGCGGUCCGGCGAAAAGUGUACGCCGAGUUGUACGUCCUGGGAUCCGGCGGAUGGGGCGUCCCUGCCACCGCGGCAGAGAUUGAGCUCUCGUUUGACGCAGACUUCCUUGAAAUUCUACCACCCAUCCAUGGCAAGGUCUUCGUGGUGACCGACUCUCGGUACGCCCUGGGUUUAGAUUUGGCAGCGGCGAGCUUCUUCACCCUUGAGUUCCCAGUUGGAGUGCGCCACAAUUACAACCUCUCAUGUGCGGAGGAUUCCGGGCUCUAUCUUGUCAGUGCAGACGGGUUUCAGCUCAGUGUGUGGCUCCAUCCGAUGUCGGGCGAUGGCAAUGGUGCAGGCUGGCUGCUGGUGGACACAUUUUGUGUCCGUGAGGCUGAGGCUUGUGCACGUCUUGUAAGGGACCGUUGGAUCCCUCCCGGUAAUUAUCUUGAUGUUGCUGCGGUCGGGGACAAUGCCGAAUUUGUGUUCUUGGAUCAUACAGCAAGUGGCACUCUCUUUUAUGUUCAUCUGAGGAGCAGGGUAGUUGAGAAAGUCCAUCAGAGGGUGCCAGAAAAAUGCUAUGAACCUCCCCAAAUAGCUCUCUCUCCCACUGUGAUGAUCUGGCCGCCAAUUUUCCCUGCACGAGAGGUAGGACAUGAUCAAGAGGAAUGA
RNAcentral lists this ribosomal RNA (1218 nucleotides) under Triticum aestivum (bread wheat). RNAcentral describes it as "partial small subunit ribosomal RNA". Lineage: Eukaryota; Viridiplantae; Streptophyta; Magnoliopsida; Poales; Poaceae. The record is from RNAcentral.